GAUGAACGCUAGCUACAGGUCUUAACACAUGCAAGUCGAGGGGCAUCAGGAAGAAAGCUUGCUUUCUUUGCUGGCGACCGGCGCACGGGUGAGUAACACGUAUCCAACCUGCCCUUUACUCGGGGAUAGCCUUUCGAAAGAAAGAUUAAUACCCGAUAGUAUAAUGAUUCCGCAUGGUUUCAUUAUUAAAGGAUUCCGGUAAAGGAUGGGGAUGCGUUCCAUUAGGUUGUUGGUGAGGUAACGGCUCACCAAGCCUUCGAUGGAUAGGGGUUCUGAGAGGAAGGUCCCCCACAUUGGAACUGAGACACGGUCCAAACUCCUACGGGAGGCAGCAGUGAGGAAUAUUGGUCAAUGGGCGCUAGCCUGAACCAGCCAAGUAGCGUGAAGGAUGAAGGCUCUAUGGGUCGUAAACUUCUUUUAUAUAAGAAUAAAGUGCAGUAUGUAUACUGUUUUGUAUGUAUUAUAUGAAUAAGGAUCGGCUAACUCCGUGCCAGCAGCCGCGGUAAUACGGAGGAUCCGAGCGUUAUCCGGAUUUAUUGGGUUUAAAGGGAGCGUAGGUGGACUGGUAAGUCAGUUGUGAAAGUUUGCGGCUCAACCGUAAAAUUGCAGUUGAUACUGUCAGUCUUGAGUACAGUAGAGGUGGGCGGAAUUCGUGGUGUAGCGGUGAAAUGCUUAGAUAUCACGAAGAACUCCGAUUGCGAAGGCAGCUCACUGGACUGCAACUGACACUGAUGCUCGAAAGUGUGNGUAUCAAACAGG
RNAcentral lists this ribosomal RNA (759 nucleotides) under uncultured bacterium. Its description in RNAcentral is "bacterial SSU rRNA". It matches the Rfam family "Bacterial small subunit ribosomal RNA", at positions 28 to 776 of the family's 1533-position model. The record is from RNAcentral.